CAGAUGGAAAUCACUUUCUGUCCUCAUGUUAAAGGGGUCCUAGCCCAGCCCUGGAAAGGGGUUCCGGCCAGAAGAGACAGUGUGUUCCAGGCAGGAUGGCAAGGACUUUGUUCCUAGAGACGUCACACCGCCUUGUGAGCCGGCGGAGACAGAUGGUCUCGGUUACCCCGGGAAGAGUGUGGCUUCUGCACUCUCCUUCUUCCUCCCUGGGUUAAGCUGCUCUGGCCCCGCCUCACUCCUCCUCGGGGGCCGUGUGUGACAUCAGUGCAGCUGCAAGGGCUCGUCUGUGGGUGCACGGAGCUUGAAUAACUGCAAGACUGUCAGGGCCCGCCGCCGCCCCGCGCGGGACGGAGAGGCGGGGGCGUCGCUGGAGUCCCCGACGGAUCAGUUCAAGGAGCAAGGGGACUGGUGAAGCCAUGGGUAUUUAGGGGGAAAAAUUCCUAACUGCCCCCGAAUAUUAUCUAACCUGGAUUCAUCUGCUUACCUGAGUGAUUGUAUGUCAGCCCCAGUUCUGCCUUUGGAAGUGGCAUCAGAAUACAGCUUGUGGGAAGAGGGGGGUCCCUCAUCUACAAGGCCAGCACUGAAGGACAGGCUGCUGGUUCUCAGACUCCAGUGACCUGGAGUCCCAAGAGCUCCUCAAAACUGCAAAGUCCUGCCUGGGCCCCACCAAGACGUUCGGUUCAGUAGACCCCCACGUGAUUCUACUGCAAAUGAGUGGGGCUGGUCUUCGAGAAACAUGGGCAAAUACGAGCGGAAACCCUCUGCCUUGACAGCGUGUUGACCUUGGGGAGGACAGGAAGGGGCUGGGGGUGAAGAAUUGGCAGCAGGAAGGUGGGGACGAGAAGAAACUGAACCCCAGCCUGCGGUGGAUACAGAAGAGAGAAGGAAGAUGUGGACGUCUCUUUUACAUUUAUGUUAGAGAAUGGAAAGGUUUAAUGUGUUUAUGUGCUGAGAUGAACCAGCCAGUUGUGAGGGAGAGGCUGACACUGACAGGAGACUGGAAGUGACCGAAGGAGCGAGACCCCAGGUAGGAGGGUCAGAUCCAUGCCUCCACGCGGGGCGGCCAGCCACCUUUGCAGGGGAUUUACCCCUUGAGUCAGAAGGAAAUCCGAACAAUAACUCGUUGAGAUAAGAGAAAACGGAUGGAUGGUGGCGUCUGAAGUUUCUGUAGCAGUGUUGCUGGGCAGUUUGGCUUAACUUGAAGUGUUGAAACAGGAAAAUAGGAUUCGGAGGGACUACGGAUACGAAGGAAAGCUCUCAUCACAGCCCAGAUGGUACCAGCUUCCAAGCAGCAGUGGGGUCUCGAGGCUCAGGAGAAACCGCUCCAUCUUCUCACCAGAAGGGGACACACGGAGCCUGAGCUUCUUACUAAAACCGCGCUGUACGGCCAGACUGUCAUUCACGUGGGGCCGGACAGCCCCGUGACUCUCGGUGGAUAAUACGUUGCCCAGCGCUAGGUCGUGUUAGAGGGAUUUGAUGCAUUGUUUUUGAUGUUGACCUUGCAUUGGAUAAAGGUUACAUGCAUACAUUAUUACAUAAAUGUACAUUCUCGUUCCAAAAAUUCAGAAAAUACAGACAAGCAGAGAAAGGGGAAGAAGUCACUCCUAGUCCUACUGCAGGAAGAGGACCACUGUCGAGACUUGGCGCUGUGAACCCACCUGCAAGAUGACCCCCAGUAAGCCUUGCCUCCCAGCGUCCACGCCCGGGGGCAGCCCCUCCCACGCAAAACGAGGGCGAGCCCUGCGUGACCAGGAGGACGUGGCAAAGUGACCCUGCGGGACUGCCGAGGCCAGGCCAUAAAAGACACAGCAGCUUCCACCCACCACGCGGCUCCCCCGCAGCGGCCCCACUGCCGAUUUGGGCCAGCCACUUCUUUGCUGUGGGCGCUGUUCUGUGCAUUGUAAGACGUCCAGUAGCAGCCCUGCCCCCGCCCACUAGGUGCCGGUAGCACCUCUCGCUCAGUUCUAGGAAUCAGAAGUGUCUCCAGACGUUGCUGACUGUCCUGGGGCCACCGACCUACAUUCUUGACUUGCGAGCUCUGGGGGAAACCAGCCACCAAGGGUCGUGGAGGGGAGCUCACGGGGAGGGGCUGAGGCCCCCAGGCCGAAGGCUGGCACCUCUUGCUGUCCAUUGUCAGGGGGCCACCUGGAGGUGGACCCAGCCACCAGAUGACUGGGAGCCGGGCCGCAAAUUGUUGGCAAAGUUCAUGGGAGCCAGAACCGCCUGAACGGACUGCUCCCAGGUUCCUAACCCCGGGAAACCAGGAAAGGUGAAAGAUAACGAUUUUGUUUUAAAAGCCACUAAGUUUGGGGGUGACUUGCUUAGUUGAUUUCUUCGUUUAGCAACCAUUCUUGCUGUCUGAAGCCUGACUACGUUUUCUUUCCUCGAGCACAUUUCCCAAGGGCCUGGCGCAAAGAGUGAAUAAUGACCAGUGUGAUUGUUCCUCUGUUACCUAAAGUUACCGUGUGACACGAACUCAUUCACAACAUUUCAGGUCGAGAACGUGUUACAGCCCCAGCCCCUGAGGGGUGUGAUGUCCGGGACGCUGGCCCCCACGCUCCAGUUUCCGUGAACUCAGCUCCUGCCUCCGAGCGGCGAGUGGUAACAGUUAGGAACGCGCCCCUCUGUGCCCGGCCAGGCCUGGAGAAGAAUUCUGCACACACCUGAGGGUCUUGGUCCCUCACUCUUUUCAGGUCAUCAGGUGAACUGAGGCGUGAUCGCACCCCAUGAAUUAGGCUAAUUCCAAAAGACUGCCCUUGGGUCUAGCCUACCUCCAUGGGCUCACAGAAGAUGUGACUGUCACUCGCUGUGUACAAAACCAGAUCUGCCUGUGCUUCUGAAACAGAGUUGGUCCAGCUGUAACUUUGCACCAGCCUUGAAAAUUCACCCGACCUGCUACCCAGUGGGAGGAUCUGUCUGCUAGCAAAUAACCUGGUAGACGAGUUUUUUACUCUGAGCCAGACCGCGGUGACUUGUGUGAUGGAACAAAACCCAAGUCCUAGAUCUGAGCAGGGUGACAGCCUGUCAUCCGAAGUCCUUUUCAGCAUCCGGUGAAGCAUGUGUCUGCAGUGGGAAAUGCACACUUCUUCCUUGGGCUUUAUCUGCUCUGCUUAAAUGGUCGUUACCUUCAACCCCUGUGUUGAGGAAGUGAUGGAAUUCUGUCACACAGAUGAAUAUACUUAAGUACACACCAGUAUCUUCUCGGUCACGUAUCAGUAGUUAUUUGAGUUAUAAAUCAGUAGACUGUUACAUUAUGAAGGUUUCUCAGAGAAAACUGACCACAUUUUCUAUUAACAUACACAUCAUGAUCCUAUCAUGAUGACAAGUGUAAAUUUGACCUAAUUUCUGAUUCACUGAUGUGUUCAACAGAUAUUGACUGUGUUCUGGGCCUGGGGAAACAGCAGGAAAUCAGAGGACAAGGGCCCUGAUCUCACAGGGAGUGGCUGUUCCGGAUCAGGAAGAAGGCGGGUAAAGAAGGCAUUACCACAUCCAUCUUCAGGGUUAUUUUGAAGUCGUCGCCAAUGCACUGAAAACUAAGAACAGUACAAAGAUCUCCUUUCCACCUGGAUUUCCCACUUUUUAAUACUAAGCGUGUAACGUUACUAAUUACUAACGUGACUGCACUGCUCCAUCACUUUCUCCGCCUCUCUCUGAGAGAUGGAUAGAUGUCUUCCUGACUUCAGGCCCCAUCGCCCCUGAAUGCUCCCCACGUGCCUCCUACCGACGAGGACCGCCCCUCCACCCCGACCACGCGACGCUCCGACCGGACGUGCACACGGCGCGGCCGCCCAACCCGCAGGCCCGGGGAGCGUCUCACCGCGGGCCUGGGCGGGGCCUCCCCCGCUUCCCCGCGGAGCCUGCCCCGCGGAGCGCACACCGCAUCGGGCCGUCGGCCCAUCAGGCCCCCUCCCUCCGGACCGCCUCCCCCGCUGUCCCUGCCUCUGCCGUCCUUGACUGUCUCUGCAAGGGCACAGGCCCUUCCUGCCUCGGGGCGCACCUGUCCCGCCGGCGGGGCCGCGACCGCAUCGCCUGUCCAGCUGUGUCUGCCACUUCCCUCGAGCAUCUGAUUAUUUUGUGGGGGUAUUUUGCCAAUAUCCUGCUUCUCAUCAAAACUCCCCCCACCGGUGACACACACACACCAACUGCUACUAUUACUGUUGCCUGGCCUUAAUUGCUUAUUCCCAGGUUCCUUCCACGUCUCUCAGUUUGCCUUCCGCUGUAGGCGAGCUCUCCCCUCUCUUCAUUUAUCUCUUUACUUAGUUUUGUCAGCACGGACUCACGGACUCCUAUCUCAUGCACUGGGUUGGAAUCCAAUUACUUCUUUUGAUGCUGAAAUUAUUCUAAAAUCAGCCAGUGGGAGCCCCUUCCAGCCGGGUCUGUGUCUUUUCAACAUGGUCCAUCACUCUGGCCUGCUGCCUUGCUUUCCUACUCAAAAAGACGUUUCGGGCUCAUCUUGUACUCCUCCUGCCCCAGCAGGGGAAUCAGCCCCACUUCUCCCCCCGAGAUCUGGGUGCUGGUUGUGCCACUCCUGCCGGGGUGUCACUGCUCCUCGGCCUGCUCAGCUGACAGAGGUUGGAAAUGCAUGUAGGUCUGUCUGUGUGUGCACACAUGUGUGUGCACAGGUACGUGUCCACAUCACAUAAAUACACGUACACACACACAAACUCACACCCAUAACAAUUCCUACAUCUAGUUCUUGCCUGUGGCCAGACACCACCCGUGUCUUGCUGCUGCUGUUUCCACCUUCCUCUUAAUGCUUCCAAGCCCCAGGCACGCUCGGCUCGGCUCCCUCCUUGUCCGGGGGGAUGCAGGUUUAUGUAAACGGAGAAUCAGAGCCACGUGCCUGGCCCCAGGAGAAGUCUAUCCCCAAGAUAGACCUUGGGAGAGCUGGUGUUAAGUA
Long non-coding RNA from Camelus dromedarius (Arabian camel), 4900 nucleotides. RefSeq lists it as uncharacterized. The record is from RefSeq and is a predicted model, not a curated record. The transcript has 4 exons. NCBI's taxonomy places the organism in Eukaryota, Metazoa, Chordata, Mammalia, Artiodactyla, Camelidae.